AAUUCUCAACCUUUGUUAACUUUUUAGUUAGCAAGUGGAUUGGAAGUGGGGGCAUGUUGGUUUCUUCAUUGAAAUGAACUCCCCUGAAAUGCAUUAGCUGGUUGCCUUGUGCAAACAUGUCUAUUGGUGUGAUAAUUAUCUACGCCGUGGGCUAUUUGCCGUUUAUAGCACUGCUUAUAAUCGUCUGUUCAUUCAGACAAUACAUGACA
RNAcentral lists this unclassified non-coding RNA (209 nucleotides) under uncultured Hypholoma. RNAcentral's name for it is "sequence contains ITS2". Lineage: Eukaryota; Fungi; Basidiomycota; Agaricomycetes; Agaricales; Strophariaceae. The record is from RNAcentral.